Molecule: ribosomal RNA, 458 nt
Filed under: uncultured bacterium
Lineage: Bacteria
Description: partial 16S ribosomal RNA
Rfam family: Bacterial small subunit ribosomal RNA
Source: RNAcentral
CCUACGGGGGGCAGCAGUGGGGAAUAUUGGGCAAUGGGCGCAAGCCUGACCCAGCAACGCCGCGUGAAGGAAGAAGGCUUUCGGGUUGUAAACCUCUUUUGUCAGGGAGCAAAGUCACCCACGUGUGGGUGUUGGAGAGUACCUGAAGAAAAAGCAUCGGCUAACUCCGUGCCAGCAGCCGCGGUAAUACGGAGGAUGCGAGCGUUAUCCGGAUUUAUUGGGUUUAAAGGGUGCGUAGGCGGGUUAUCAAGUCAGCGGUAAAAUCGUGGAGCUCAACUCCAUCCAGCCGUUGAAACUGAUGAUCUUGAGUGGGCGAGAAGUAUGCGGAAUGCGUGGUGUAGCGGUGAAAUGCAUAGAUAUCACGCAGAACUCCGAUUGCGAAGGCAGCAUACCGGCGCCCGACUGACGCUGAAGCACGAAAGCGUGGGUAUCGAACAGGAUUAGAUACCCCAGUAGUC